Oryctolagus cuniculus (rabbit) is the source of this 2200-nucleotide non-coding RNA. The record is from RefSeq and is a predicted model, not a curated record. NCBI's taxonomy places the organism in Eukaryota, Metazoa, Chordata, Mammalia, Lagomorpha, Leporidae.
ACUGGGGCUCAGCAGGAAAUGAUGCAAUAGUUGAGCUACUGAUGAUGUAGCAGCAUUUACUCAGCUCUGCAAGUGAGUAAGUGAAUGCUUAUGCUUGGGUUGCAUUUACACUGCACUAACGCACUCAUGCAGAUUCAUUUAAUUCCCAUAAGGACUCUGUAAGGUAGGCCUGCUUAUGUUGUCUGUUUUACAGGUGAGGAAACGGAGGGACAGAGGAGAGAAGACACUUGCCCAGGUUUUCCUGCUAGAGCUGGAAUUCGAUCCCAGGGCUCCCAAGUGUAUGCUCCCAAAUUCAAUGCAAGAAUUGACCAAAGACCAAGGACAGUGGCAAGACUCCUCAAAAGAUUUACCUAUUAAGAUUUCAAGGCACUCGUUCUGGAGAAGGAACACGUUCCCAGCCAGCCAUGUGUGUACAUAUAUUUAGAGAACAUUCAUUUAGUCUCUUAAAAGAUCAAUUUGGCUUGUCAAUGGCAGGACUGGCACGGGAAGAAAUGUGACUGCAUCUCUGGGCACCAGGUCGUCAUCACUGCCGAGCCUCUCUACCAUGCUCCAUCUGUGUUUGAAAAUUAGAAAAAGGAACAUGGUGUACAGUCUUCCAGUUGGCCAUCCUCUUCACUCGCUCAGACUGAAACUACAGGUUUGUGGGAGUUCAUCUGGAGGGGAGAGACUGAGAUAAAAAAGUAAAGCAGGACACACACCCUCAGCUGAGGUAUUCAGCUCGAGGUGCCGGCUGCCUCUACUUUUGGCUCGCCGCCAUUGCCCAUGCUGGUAAAGCUACAGUGAUAAGAGCAGUGGCUUUUUAAGCAUCUCACUUAAGCAGUGACCUCCAUGCACAAAGGCUCGGAAAAGGAGGGAUCACCUUAUCUAAAGCUUUUGUUACUAAAUGUGCCAAAGUGAGAGGCUACAGUAAAAACUGUUUAGUGAUAUUAGGAUCAUAUAUGGUGUGCGUCUGUGUAUCGUGCGUGAGCUUGGGAGUGGGGGAGCAGGGUACAGUCUGUGUUCCUGCUUCUUGUUUCCCAUGUUUUCAGAAAGAGCCUAAUCUUUGGUGAAGGAGGAAUUAGACCCAGAAUAGUCCAAUAACUUGUCCCAAGUCACAUGAGAAGUGACAAAAUCCCUGCCCAGGCCCCAUACUCCUUGCAGUGUGGCAAUCUUAAAAUAGACCCUGCAGAUAAAGGAGAGGUGGCCUGGCUGGGAGUGGGUAUGAUUCACAAAGAAGGAAAUAUCAGAUAUUAAUCAUAUUAAAGGAGGAUUUAGAUUAUGCUAAAAGGAGCAGCCUGUUGGGGACCUCUUGAUGCCAGCGUCCCUUGUUUGUGUCAUUUUGGCCCUUGGGCUAUGAGUAGGGGAUUACAUUCCAACUAGGUAAGGCUUAAACAAGCCUGCCAAUCCUAAUGUGCACUUUAAGGAUUUGUUCGAAUUAUACGACAGAAAUGCAGGAAUCACCUCGUGACUCUUGGACAAUUCUUUUAUGAAGCUAGAUGUAAGGUGCCAUGUGAAUAUUUAUAUUAUAACAUAACAUAAAUGAUUCACCAGCAUACAGUAGAAGUUUCUUAGUUUAAGGUUUAGAGCCGCAGACUUAUCAGAAGGGUGGCACGGGGAAGAGAAGAGAUGAAGCCCUCCCCAAGAUUUCUUUAAAAUGUUUAGCCAAAACCAUUUCUUCAGCUUUGGAAGAAAUGUGCCAGUGUUUUGUCAAUGCAGUAAACUGCUGUGCUGUUACAACCAAGCCUUUAAAAACAGAGAUUUAAAAAUAGUAUUCACAAAGAAUCUCUCCCUUACAUGCCUGGCAAGAAACAGUGAUAUAGGUUUUGGGUAGCAAAGAUAAUUGAUAGCUUGUGAUACAAUAAGGCAAACUUUCCAGGAAAAAAGGUGACUUCUCCAAGGCUAAGCUUCCACAUUGGGUCUUUAUAAGCCUCAGUAAGUGAUGGGCACAGCGCAGGGCAGUGUGGAGGAAGGCCUAGAAGGAAUGAUUCAACAGGGAGAAGACAAGGGAUCAGGUCCCUUUGUUGAGAACGCUAGAACCAGGUGCCUCUCCUUCAAAAAUGAGAACUUCCUGGGCAUUUUUGGAUGCCUCCCUAGACAAGGAAAGCAAGAGUUUUACCACAAGGUCUCUGCAACAAGCAGAGGUGUGAGAAAAGAGUUCUGCCUUUUAGGGUGGCACGGCAACUCGCCAAGAUCCUACAAGAAGUGGACUCUGUCUGGCCAU